This 56-nucleotide transfer RNA is filed under the name Adalia decempunctata. RNAcentral describes it as "transfer RNA-Ser". The record is from RNAcentral. Lineage: Eukaryota; Metazoa; Arthropoda; Insecta; Coleoptera; Coccinellidae.
GAAAUAUUAACAUGUAAAUGCUAUUUAUCAAGUUAGAAGCUUGAAUUUGAUAUUUC